Long non-coding RNA from Oncorhynchus keta (chum salmon), 851 nucleotides. RefSeq lists it as uncharacterized. The record is from RefSeq and is a predicted model, not a curated record. NCBI's taxonomy places the organism in Eukaryota, Metazoa, Chordata, Actinopteri, Salmoniformes, Salmonidae. The transcript has 4 exons.
CAAAACAUAAAGCAACAUCUACAAUGGAAUGGUUCAAAAAUAAACAUAUCCAGGUGUUAGAAUGGCCAAGUCAAAGUCCAGACCUGAAUCCAAUCGAGAAUCUGUGGAAAGAACUGAAAACUGCUGUUCACAAAUGCUCUCCAUCCAACCUCACUGAGCUCGAGCUGUUUUGCAAGGAGGAAUGGGAAAACAUUUGAGUCUCUCUAUGUGCAAAACUGAUAGAGACAUACCCCAAGCGACUUACAGCUGCAAUCGCAGCAAACGGUGGCGAUAACAAAGUAUUAACUUAAGGGGGCUGAAUAAUUUUGCACUCCCAAUUUUUCAGUUUUUGAUUUGUUAAAAAAGUUUGAAAUAUCCAAUAAAUGUCGUUCCACUUCAUGAUUGUGUCCCACUUGUUGUUGAUUCUUCACAAAAAAAAUACAGUUUUAUAUCUUUAUGUUUGAAGCUCAAGGGGGCCGAAUACUUUCGCAAGGCACUGGACAUGUGUAAAUUCACAAUUUCUAGAAAUGCCUGUUCGUCUUCCGGUAAUCGUUGCAUCAAGUCAGGUGCGGUAGUAGGUUAUGCAUAACCCAUAACAAGAUGGUAGGUUAUGCACAACCCAUAAUAAGAUGGUAGGUUAUGCAUAACCCAUAACAAGAUGGUAGGUUAUGCACAACCCAUAAUAAGAUGGUUAGUUAUGCACAACCCAUAAUAAGUUGGUAGGUUAUGCACAACCCAUAAUAAGUUGGUAGGUUAUGCACAACCCAUAAUAAGAUGGUAGGUUAUGCACAACCCAUAAUAAGAUGGUAGGUUAUGCAUAACCCAUAAUAAGAUGGUAGGUUAUGCACAACCCAUAAUAAGAUGGUAGGUUA